AGCCAGCACAGCUUCAGUUACAAUUAUGCAGCAUAAUUCCCUGCGAUAGAAGGGUAGUGACAAUAAUAAAUUCAAAUGCAUUCAGAUAAAUAAUUUUAAAGCAAAUGCACAUUGCUGGAGGAUAUUCACCAAGCAGACAAAAAAAAAAAAAAAAAAAAAAAAAAAAAAAAAAAAAAAAAAAAAAAAAAAAAAAAAAAAAAAAGCCCAGUAGCCUAAUAUGUUAUUUCUUGGGAAUAGUUCUUUCUGCCCUCAGGCUGAUAUAUUCUUUGGGAACACUUUAAUGCAGUUCCUAUAAUUAGUGAGUACUUCACAAUCACCUUCCAGAGAAUUAUAUCUUUCUGUAACACUCUCUGCGUGUGCUUUGAAGGCAUCGAAGCAUACAAGGUUCUUGUCUCAGCAGAAGAAAGGCUGCAGGGCAGAACCGGGGCAGGGGGCUUUACAGCGUUGCCAGGAGGCACCAGCUCGGUUUCCCUGCAGCAGGCACAUCUCUCCUCUUUGAGAAACACUGUGCAAGGCAUGUACCAAGAGAAAUGGGGAAGGAGACAUGCCAGGGUGCUAUCCAGACAUUCUUCUGAGAAAGUCUACCUUCUUGUGCAAACAGAGAGAUACUUCCAAGCUUGCUUUUCUAGGAAUUCCUGUGUGAAAUUGCCCUCUGAGACAAGUGAGAAAUGAGGCCAUGUCUCAUUUAUACCUUUGAAGAGGAUGGUUCCUUACUGCCAUGAUACAAUACCUAGUUUUUAAAAGUCUUUCAGUUACUUACAUUUUCAUGCUCAAAAUUGCUGUGGUAGAGGUGAAGAAUCUUGGAAUAAUGACUAUGACACAACUUUUAAAAAUCCCUCAAGUAGUUAAUUACAUUCCUGGAGAGCUGGAGUAAUAACAGGAAUAUCCGAGUUGCAAUAAAAAUGUAAGAAGAUUUUUAGAAGGUCA
Molecule: long non-coding RNA, 927 nt
Filed under: Junco hyemalis (dark-eyed junco)
Lineage: Eukaryota; Metazoa; Chordata; Aves; Passeriformes; Passerellidae
Description: lncRNA (ENSJHYG00000013678.1)
Source: RNAcentral